RNAcentral lists this ribosomal RNA (468 nucleotides) under uncultured bacterium. RNAcentral describes it as "partial 16S ribosomal RNA". It matches the Rfam family "Bacterial small subunit ribosomal RNA", at positions 28 to 507 of the family's 1533-position model. The record is from RNAcentral.
GACGAACGCUGGCGGCGUGCUUAACACAUGCAAGUCGAACGGAAAGGCCCUGCUUUUGUGGGGUGCUCGAGUGGCGAACGGGUGAGUAACACGUGAGUAACCUGCCCUUGACUUUGGGAUAACUUCAGGAAACUGGGGCUAAUACCGGAUAGGAGCUCCUGCUGCAUGGUGGGGGUUGGAAAGUUUCGGCGGUUGGGGAUGGACUCGCGGCUUAUCAGCUUGUUGGUGGGGUAGUGGCUUACCAAGGCUUUGACGGGUAGCCGGCCUGAGAGGGUGACCGGCUACAUUGGGACUGAGAUACGGCCCAGACUCCUACGGGAGGCAGCAGUGGGGAAUAGUGCACAAUGGGCGGAAGCCUGAUGCAGCAACGCCGCGUGCGGGAUGACGGCCUUCGGGUUGUAAACCGCUUUCGCCUGUGACGAAGCGUGAGUGACGGUAAUGGGUAAAGAAGCACCGGCUAACUACGUG